GACGAACCGUGCGAACGUUGUUCGGAAUUAUUGGGCGUAAAGGGUAGGUAGGUGGUCUCAUUUGUCUGAGGUGAAAGCCUUGAGCUUAACUCAAGAAGUGCCUCAGAAACGGUGAGACUAGAGUUCUGGAGAGGGUCGUGGAAUUCCCGGUGUAGCGGUGAAAUGCGUAGAGAUCGGGAGGAACACCGGCGGCGAAGGCGGCGAUCUGGGUCGAUACUGACGCUGAGACGCGAAAGCGUGGGGAGCAAACAGG
This 253-nucleotide ribosomal RNA is filed under the name uncultured bacterium. Its description in RNAcentral is "partial 16S ribosomal RNA". It matches the Rfam family "Bacterial small subunit ribosomal RNA", at positions 524 to 776 of the family's 1533-position model. The record is from RNAcentral.